GUCCUGGUGGCGAAGUGGUUAACGCUUCGGUUUGCAAAACCGACAUGCGUGGGUUCGAAUCCCACCCAGGACU
Molecule: transfer RNA, 73 nt
Filed under: Candidatus Kaiserbacteria bacterium
Lineage: Bacteria; Candidatus Kaiseribacteriota
Also listed under: 2 other names
Description: tRNA-Cys
Rfam family: tRNA
About the family: Transfer RNA (tRNA) molecules are approximately 80 nucleotides in length. Their secondary structure includes four short double-helical elements and three loops (D, anti-codon, and T loops).
Source: RNAcentral